Molecule: ribosomal RNA, 253 nt
Filed under: uncultured Ferruginibacter sp.
Lineage: Bacteria; Pseudomonadati; Bacteroidota; Chitinophagia; Chitinophagales; Chitinophagaceae
Description: partial 16S ribosomal RNA
Rfam family: Bacterial small subunit ribosomal RNA
Source: RNAcentral
UACGGAGGGUGCAAGCGUUAUCCGGAUUUACUGGGUUUAAAGGGUGCGUAGGUGGGUCUGUAAGUCAGUGGUGAAAUCUCCGAGCUUAACUCGGAAACUGCCAUUGAUACUAUAGCUCUUGAAUUAUCUGGAGGUGAGCGGAAUAUGUCAUGUAGCGGUGAAAUGCUUAGAUAUGACAUAGAACACCAAUUGCGAAGGCAGCUCACUACGGAUUGAUUGACACUGAGGCACGAAAGCGUGGGGAUCAAACAGG